AUCAGAGUGGCGCAGCGGAAGCGUGGUGGGCCCAUAACCCACAGGUGUCAGGAUCGAAACCUGGCUCUGAUA
Molecule: transfer RNA, 72 nt
Filed under: Zingiber officinale
Lineage: Eukaryota; Viridiplantae; Streptophyta; Magnoliopsida; Zingiberales; Zingiberaceae
Rfam family: tRNA
About the family: Transfer RNA (tRNA) molecules are approximately 80 nucleotides in length. Their secondary structure includes four short double-helical elements and three loops (D, anti-codon, and T loops).
Source: Rfam by way of RNAcentral